AAGUCGUAACAAGGUUUCCGUAGGUGAACCUGCGGAAGGAUCAUUAAAUAAUUUAGAUGGCCUCCUAGAACUUGUUCUAGUUAGGUUCAUUCUUUUUUACUGUGAACUGUUUUAAUUUUCAGCGUUUGAGGAAUGUCUUUUAGUCAUAGGGAUAGACUACUAGAAUGUUAACCGAGCUGAAGUCAGGUUUAGACCUGGUAUCCUAUUAAUUAUUUACCAAAAGAAUUCAGUAUUAUUAUUGUAACAUAAGCGUAAAAAACUUAUAAAACAACUUUUAACAACGGAUCUCUUGGUUCUC
Molecule: unclassified non-coding RNA, 298 nt
Filed under: Mucor hiemalis
Lineage: Eukaryota; Fungi; Mucoromycota; Mucoromycetes; Mucorales; Mucoraceae
Description: partial internal transcribed spacer region
Rfam family: Eukaryotic small subunit ribosomal RNA (bases 1-46)
Source: RNAcentral